This is a long non-coding RNA of Salvia splendens (bonfire salvia), 399 nucleotides long. RefSeq lists it as uncharacterized. The record is from RefSeq and is a predicted model, not a curated record. The transcript is spliced from 3 exons. NCBI's taxonomy places the organism in Eukaryota, Viridiplantae, Streptophyta, Magnoliopsida, Lamiales, Lamiaceae.
UUUUUAUUCGCUAUCCACAAGUUUAUGAAAGGAUGAAGGUGAACAAGAAAGAAGCACAAAACCAACCUCCAAAAAAUGCCGCUCAAUCUGGUUGGCGAACUUUGAAGAACAAUUCAGAGGGAAUCAUUGAUGGCAAAGGCGAGGCCUAAGCAAAUAUGAAUGGUCCUGAAAAAGCACAAUCGGAUAUGAAAUGGCAACACCAGAAAUUGGAAAGAAAUCUACUAAGGCUCCCACAAUUGAUGGAUCCAAUGCUUUAAAAGGUAAUAGAUUUACAGAAAAAACUAAGAAUGUCUCUCAGAAUUUCAUCUCAUAUACAAGAAACGUAUUAGGUCAUAUAUGUAACAGUUUUGUGUCAUGUUUACAAACUGUUAUUGUUUCUAUAAGUUGCAUUCAAUAUGG